RNAcentral lists this long non-coding RNA (219 nucleotides) under Elaeis guineensis (African oil palm). RNAcentral's name for it is "long non-coding RNA (EGUI_LNC073025)". Lineage: Eukaryota; Viridiplantae; Streptophyta; Magnoliopsida; Arecales; Arecaceae. The record is from RNAcentral.
CACAACUUAGAAAAAGAAAAAGAAGAAAGGGGGGAAGCGGAAGUCAAAGCCCGACGUGGAAAGCUUCUUGGUAUAAGCAGAAGUGGUAGGAAGGAGGGGUGCUAGCCCGGCCAGUUGGCCCGGGAAGCUCCAACUCAUACUCCGAAGGAACCCCGUACUGAAUCCUAAUCAGUGAGAGUUCGUCUGGAGUCAGAGAGUUGGGAAUAGUGUCUGGUACAA